GACGAACGCUGGCGGCGUGCUUAACACAUGCAAGUCGAACGGAAAGGCCCUGCUUUUGUGGGGUGCUCGAGUGGCGAACGGGUGAGUAACACGUGAGUAACCUGCCCUUGACUUUGGGAUAACUUCAGGAAACUGGGGCUACUACCGGAUAGGAGCUCCUGCUGCAUGGUGGGGGUUGGAAACUUUCGGCGGUUGGGGAUGGACUCGCGGCUUAUCAGCUUGUUGGUGGGGUAGUGGCUUACCAAGGCUUUGACGGGUAGCCGGCCUGAGAGGGUGACCGGCCACAUUGGGACUGAGGUACGGCCCAGACUCCUACGGGAGGCAGCAGUGGGGAAUAUUGCACAAUGGGCGGAAGCCUGAUGCAGCAACGCCGCGUGCGGGAUGACGGCCUUCGGGUUGUAAACCGCUUUCGCCUGUGACGAAGCGUGAGUGACGGUAAUGGGUAAAGAAGCACCGGCUAGCUACGUG
Molecule: ribosomal RNA, 468 nt
Filed under: uncultured bacterium
Lineage: Bacteria
Description: partial 16S ribosomal RNA
Rfam family: Bacterial small subunit ribosomal RNA
Source: RNAcentral